AAGACUGGGAUAACUUCGGGAAACCGGAGCUAAUACCGGAUAAUAUUUUGAACCGCAUGGUUCAAAAGUGAAAGACGGUCUUGCUGUCACUUAUAGAUGGAUCCGCGCUGCAUUAGCUAGUUGGUAAGGUAACGGCUUACCAAGGCAACGAUGCAUAGCCGACCUGAGAGGGUGAUCGGCCACACUGGAACUGAGACACGGUCCAGACUCCUACGGGAGGCAGCAGUAGGGAAUCUUCCGCAAUGGGCGAAAGCCUGACGGAGCAACGCCGCGUGAGUGAUGAAGGUCUUCGGAUCGUAAAACUCUGUUAUUAGGGAAGAACAUAUGUGUAAGUAACUGUGCACAUCUUGA
Molecule: ribosomal RNA, 351 nt
Filed under: Staphylococcus aureus
Lineage: Bacteria; Bacillati; Bacillota; Bacilli; Caryophanales; Staphylococcaceae
Description: bacterial SSU rRNA
Rfam family: Bacterial small subunit ribosomal RNA
Source: RNAcentral